GAAUGAAACUUUUAAUAAAAAAGAGAAAUAAAGAAAAAAUUGAAAUUGAAGUUGUUGGAGAUGGAGAUUGCGGAUUCUUUCAAUCCGUCAAUUCCGCUUUUCGUUUUCCUCUACUCUUCCUCCU
RNAcentral lists this non-coding RNA (124 nucleotides) under Aurantiochytrium limacinum. Lineage: Eukaryota; Bigyra; Thraustochytrida; Thraustochytriidae. The record is from RNAcentral.